GGCUCACGAUACUCCCUCUCCCAAAUCAGAUUUUUACUCUUUUUCUCCCUAAAACAUAGCAGCUCUUGGUCUUUCUUCCUCCCCACCAAACCGUGAGCUCCAACCCCUCUCAACUCCCAUCUCUUCUUCACACAAGCUCGGAUUAGCAUGAGAAUGGGUUAAGCUCGUGCAGAAGACAAAGAGGAAGGGUUUCAAAGGCUGAAAAUAAUAGCUUGAGCUUGGAUCAUGGGUUUUGCUUCCAAGUGAAAUUCCAUCAUCUACAAGCCUAGAGUAGCGAUUAUCAACAUCAAAUGGUUCAAUUUACCAAUUAUUCCAAGGAUAGUGUCCGGAUUGGAGACUCCAAUGGGUUCUCCAAUGUAGAGUUUAAGUUGGAGUCCAAUGCAGCCAAGGUAAAUUUGACAAAGUUUAUAAUUCUCGCUGAGGUAGCGUGAGAUGUAUUGGCAAUUCCAAUUACCACGAUUGCUUCUGAGUCAGCAUUUUGCACUGGUGGACGCGUGAUAGAUCCUUAUCGGAGUUCUUUGGCUCAAAAAACAGUGGAGGCUCUUGUAUGUACUCAAAAUUGGUUGAGAUCUUCUCCCAUUAGUGCACAUGAGUCAUACUUGCCUAACGUUAAAGAUGAAGAGAGCUACAAGCUUGACUCAAGUAAUGAAAUAAUAUUCAAUUCCAUCACAUAUGACGCAAAUUAAGGCUUGAAUUAUGUACUUCGUCAAACGAUGUUUCUUUGUUAGUUCGAGGUAUCACAUGGAAGGAAUAAAAUCAAGUUGUUUAGUUUAAUUUGAUUAUUUGAUAAUUUGAUAGCAUCAAAUUGAAUGAUGCUAUUUACUAUUUAACUUGUGUUAGUUUUCUUCAGUAAAUUUUAAUUUGGUUUGUAAACUUUUAAUUUGUUUUUUGUUUAAUUAUUUUUGUGAA
Alnus glutinosa is the source of this 909-nucleotide long non-coding RNA. RefSeq lists it as uncharacterized. The transcript is spliced from 6 exons. Lineage: Eukaryota; Viridiplantae; Streptophyta; Magnoliopsida; Fagales; Betulaceae. The record is from RefSeq and is a predicted model, not a curated record.